This is a long non-coding RNA of Rhipicephalus sanguineus (brown dog tick), 306 nucleotides long. RefSeq lists it as uncharacterized. The transcript is spliced from 3 exons. NCBI's taxonomy places the organism in Eukaryota, Metazoa, Arthropoda, Arachnida, Ixodida, Ixodidae. The record is from RefSeq and is a predicted model, not a curated record.
AGUGGAUGCCUGAUUUUGGUAAGUUCUAGAAUAUUUCUGAAUUACACAGCUAGGUUACUUCAUUACAUGACGUCUUUUACGCAGGAACCGAGUGUGAUCGUCUGAGCGGUGUGUUCACUCUGCGGGGAUGAUGGCCAGAGGAAGGAUGAUAGACAGACGACAGCUUGCAGAAGAAGAUGGGAGCGUUCUACCUGUGAGCCUGGUCGAGUUUAUAUUUUAUGGAUACACAUGCAUGGAUACACCAUACAUGGAUUCCCUACAAGGACCCUGCGCAUCAAAAGCAAUCUGUCAUCAAUGUUAAGUAGA